UAGUGUUAGGGGGUUUCCGCCCCUUAGUGCUGCAGCUAACGCAUUAAGCACUCCGCCUGGGGAGUACGACCGCAAGGUUGAAACUCGCAGGAAUUGACGGGGACCCGCACAAGCGGUGGAGCAUGUGGUUUAAUUCGAAGCAACGCGAAGAACCUUACCAGAUCUUGACAUCCUUUGACAACUCUAGAGAUAGAGCCUUCCCCUUCGGGGGACAAAGUGACAGGUGGUGCAUGGUUGUC
Molecule: ribosomal RNA, 239 nt
Filed under: Staphylococcus sp.
Lineage: Bacteria; Bacillati; Bacillota; Bacilli; Caryophanales; Staphylococcaceae
Description: partial 16S ribosomal RNA
Rfam family: Bacterial small subunit ribosomal RNA
Source: RNAcentral